Molecule: ribosomal RNA, 495 nt
Filed under: uncultured bacterium
Lineage: Bacteria
Description: partial 16S ribosomal RNA
Rfam family: Bacterial small subunit ribosomal RNA
Source: RNAcentral
GAUGAACGCUGGCGGCGUGCCUAAUACAUGCAAGUCGAGCGAACGGACGAGAAGCUUGCUUUUCUGAUGUUAGCGGCGGACGGGUGAGUAACACGUGGAUAACCUACCUAUAAGACUGGGAUAACUUCGGGAAACCGGAGCUAAUACCGGAUAAUAUUUUGAACCGCAUGGUUCAAAAGUGAAAGACGGUCUUGCUGUCACUUAUAGAUGGAUCCGCGCUGCAUUAGCUAGUUGGUAAGGUAACGGCUUACCAAGGCAACGAUGCAUAGCCGACCUGAGAGGGUGAUCGGCCACACUGGAACUGAGACACGGUCCAGACUCCUACGGGAGGCAGCAGUAGGGAAUCUUCCGCAAUGGGCGAAAGACUGACGGAGCAACGCCGCGUGAGUGAUGAAGGUCUUCGGAUCGUAAAACUCUGUUAUUAGGGAAGAACAUAUGUGUAAGUAACUGGGCACAUCUUGACGGUACCUAAUCAGAAAGCCACGGCUAACUACG